Molecule: small RNA, 778 nt
Filed under: Pongo abelii (Sumatran orangutan)
Lineage: Eukaryota; Metazoa; Chordata; Mammalia; Primates; Hominidae
Description: processed transcript
Source: RNAcentral
UUUCUUUUAAGUCUCCUUAAUCUUUGCUCCUUGAAAAACCAAGAUCACUUGCUAAAACUUACUGUUUCUAGCUUGGACUAUAGCAGAGAUGGAUUGGCUAGAGUCAUCCUUUCCAAAAUUUUAACUGCAGCUACUGAUGCCUGCAGACUCUAUGCAACAAAACAUUUAAGGGUAUUAUUGAGAGCUAAUGUUGAAUUCUUUAAUAAUUGGGGAAUUGAGUUGUUAGUGACCCAGCUACAUGAUAAAAACAAAACGAUUUCUUCUGAAGCUCUUGAUAUCCUCGAUGAAGCAUGUGAAGAUAAGGCCAAUCUUCAUGCUCUCAUUCAGAUGAAACCAGCGUUAUCCCACCUUGGAGACAAGGGUUUGCUUCUCCUUCUGAGAUUUCUCUCCAUUCCAAAAGGAUUUUCCUAUCUGAAUGAAAGAGGUUAUGUAGCAAAACAAUUGGAAAAGUGGCACAAGGAAUAUAACUCCAAAUAUGUUGACUUGAUUGAGGAACAACUCAAUGAAGCACUUACUACUUACCGGAAGCCUGUUGAUGGUGAUAACUAUGUUCGUCGGAGUAACCAAAGCAUAUUUAAAUUAGCCAGGAGAUAUAGUAAUCAUCUUUAUUAUACUAGAUUACAGCGUCCUCAUGUCUACCUGCCUAUACACCUUUAUGGACAACUGGUACACCAUAAAACAGGCUGCCAUUUGUUGGAAAUACAGGUAAAAACAUAAUUCACUUAUUUUAAGUGGCUACAAUAGUAAAAAAAACAAAAUCUUAACAUUGCUAAAAUAU